RNAcentral lists this ribosomal RNA (252 nucleotides) under uncultured bacterium. RNAcentral's name for it is "partial 16S ribosomal RNA". It matches the Rfam family "Bacterial small subunit ribosomal RNA", at positions 524 to 776 of the family's 1533-position model. The record is from RNAcentral.
UACGGAGGAUGCGAGCGUUAUCCGGAUUUAUUGGGUUUAAAGGGUGCGUAGGCGGAGUGCCAAGUCAGCGGUAAAAAUUCGGGGCUCAACCCCGUCGUGCCGUUGAAACUGGCGCCCUUGAGUGGGCGAGAAGUAUGCGGAGUGCGUGGUGUAGCGGUGAAAUGCAUAGAUAUCACGCAGAACCCCGAUUGCGAAGGCAGCAUACCGGCGCCCGACUGACGCUGAAGCACGAAAGCGUGGGUAUCGAACAGG